UGCAGUCGAGCGGGGGAGGUAGCUUGCUACUGGACCUAGCGGCGGACGGGUGAGUAAUACUUAGGAAUCUGCCUAUUAGUGGGGGACAACGUUCCGAAAGGAGCGCUAAUACCGCAUACGCCCUACGGGGGAAAGCAGGGGAUCUUCGGACCUUGCGCUAAUAGAUGAGCCUAAGUCGGAUUAGCUAGUUGGUGGGGUAAAGGCCUACCAAGGCGACGAUCUGUAGCGGGUUUGAGAGGAUGAUCCGCCACACUGGGACUGAGACACGGCCCAGACUCCUACGGGAGGCAGCAGUGGGGAAUAUUGGACAAUGGGCGCAAGCCUGAUCCAGCCAUGCCGCGUGUGUGAAGAAGGCCUUAUGGUUGUAAAGCACUUUAAGCGAGGAGGAGGCUUACCUGGUUAAUACCUAGGAUAAGUGGACGUUACUCGCAGAAUAAGCACCGGCUAACUCUGUGCCAGCAGCCGCGGUAAUACAGAGGGUGCAAGCGUUAAUCGGAAUUACUGGGCGUAAAGCGCGCGUAGGUGGCCAUUUAAGUCAAAUGUGAAAUCCCCGAGCUUAACUUGGGAAUUGCAUUCGAUACUGGAUGGCUAGAGUAUAGGAGAGGAAGG
This 609-nucleotide ribosomal RNA is filed under the name uncultured Acinetobacter sp. Its description in RNAcentral is "bacterial SSU rRNA". It matches the Rfam family "Bacterial small subunit ribosomal RNA", at positions 56 to 661 of the family's 1533-position model. Lineage: Bacteria; Pseudomonadati; Pseudomonadota; Gammaproteobacteria; Moraxellales; Moraxellaceae. The record is from RNAcentral.